This 469-nucleotide ribosomal RNA is filed under the name uncultured bacterium. RNAcentral describes it as "partial 16S ribosomal RNA". It matches the Rfam family "Bacterial small subunit ribosomal RNA", at positions 28 to 507 of the family's 1533-position model. The record is from RNAcentral.
GAUGAACGCUGGCGGCGUGCUUAACACAUGCAAGUCGAACGGUGAACACGGAGCUUGCCCUGUGGGAUCAGUGGCGAACGGGUGAGUAACACGUGAGCAACCUGCCCCUGACUCUGGGAUAAGCGCUGGAAACGGCGUCUAAUACUGGAUAUGUGACGUGACCGCAUGGUCUGCGUUUGGAAAGAUUGUUCGGUUGGGGAUGGGCUCGCGGCCUAUCAGCUCGUUGGUGAGGUAAUGGCUCACCAAGGUGUCGACGGGUAGCCGGCCUGAGAGGGUGACCGGCCACACUGGGAUUGCGACACGGCGCAGACUCCUACGUGAGGCAGCAGUGGGGAAUAUUGCACAAUGGGCGAAAGCCUGAUGCGGCAACGCCGCGUGAGUGAUGACGGCCUUCGAGUUGUAAACCUUUUUUAGCGGGGAAGAAGAGAUAGUGACGGUACCUGCAGAGAAAGCGCCGGCUAACUACGUG